AGCUGGUCCAAACAUAUUGAGUUAUCUCACUGAUGGUUCACAGUCGGUUACAGAUUGAACCCCUUAUUCUACCAUUUUUCCCCUUCUCACCACUACACUUGACUAGUCUUAG
Y RNA from Callithrix jacchus (white-tufted-ear marmoset), 112 nucleotides. It matches the Rfam family "Y RNA". From Rfam's summary of the family: Y RNAs are components of the Ro ribonucleoprotein particle (Ro RNP), in association with Ro60 and La proteins. The Y RNAs and Ro60 and La proteins are well conserved, but the function of the Ro RNP is not known. NCBI's taxonomy places the organism in Eukaryota, Metazoa, Chordata, Mammalia, Primates, Cebidae. The record is from Ensembl.